Molecule: unclassified non-coding RNA, 292 nt
Filed under: Hevea brasiliensis (rubber tree)
Lineage: Eukaryota; Viridiplantae; Streptophyta; Magnoliopsida; Malpighiales; Euphorbiaceae
Source: RNAcentral
UGCCCUGCCGGAGACACAGCGAUGGUGCCCUUCUUUGUCCAGAUCAAAUGCAAGCUGGGCCAGUCCUAUACGGUCGCAAACGCCAUUUCCGAGGCAGAGAUCGCGUCGGAAAUCUACUCGACUGCGGGCGAUUACGAUCUGCUGGUCAAGUUCUACGUCGACAGCGGGACCGACAUCGGCCAUUUCGUGAACGAGAAGCUGCAGGUCAUUCCCGGCAUCCAGGACACCUACACCAUCAUCACGUUCAAGGCGUUCGGUACGUAAGAGGACAUGAUCUUCUCCGAAAACCGGU